Alosa sapidissima (American shad) is the source of this 1039-nucleotide long non-coding RNA. RefSeq lists it as uncharacterized. Lineage: Eukaryota; Metazoa; Chordata; Actinopteri; Clupeiformes; Clupeidae. The record is from RefSeq and is a predicted model, not a curated record. The transcript has 5 exons.
UGGAAAAUAUCUCAUGUCAACAAUUUGACACAUGUUGAUACGUAUCCUUGCGUAUUUUAAGUGGAUAGGCUACAAUAUUGUUGCUUUUUAAGUGAGUAUACGGCGUAGUCUUGCGUAAGCCUAUCAUGUAGACUAGGCUACACCACUGGGGGAAAAACCUGUUCACCAAGCCAUGCUGCGCCCCUGACUGCAGGGCCCAGGCUGACACUGUGUUGAAGCCUUUCACCACAGACGCUCCCGGCACCAGGCUGCUCAGGUACUCAGCGUUGGAUUGUGGGAACUGGCCCCUCUUCAGGUUGUUGCUGAUGUCCACCAGCACCUUGCCCUCCAGAGCAGGGGUCAGCGAGGUCAGGAAGUCAUAGUGAUCGCGCUGCACGGCUAUAAAGAUCACCUGAGCCAUCUGAGCUGCCUCUGUGUGGGUCAUGACCUUUGAACCCUUGGCCACCAAUGCCGAGUUCUUGGGGUCACGUGACCCAAACACGACCUCAUAUCCUGCCUGGAGCAGACGAGGCCCCAGAGAGCGUCCAAAGUCCCCUGUGCCAAAGAUGCCCACCGUCCCCUGCUUACGCUCCCCAGCAAGAGACGUCAUGGCAACAGAAUCAGACUUCAUGGCUGCAUGAACCAAUACAAGUAUAUUUACAGGUCAUGGAGAUGACUCAUUUGAUAGUCUUCCAGUGGAAAUGUCAACAACAUCAUCCCCCUCAUCUAAUCAAGAAGUAUAUCCUUGUAGCUGUGCUACUUUGAUGGGCGAACAUUUCUUCAAAAGACUGAUUCACUCCCAGCUUGAAAUUAAUUUCUGGAAUCCACCUGAAAAGAGAUUUCCUGGCAUGGUCACAGAUAGCACGCUGAUCACAGCUCUUCAGAACUUGCAUGCACAGUUGUAUAUGCAUGCUCACACUCUCUCACACACACAUAGAGAGAGAGAGAGCACUCUGCAAAAAUGUGCACAGUGAUCCUACAGACAGUGGAAAAGACCAGCGUUCCACUACAUACAUAAUGCACAAUGCCAACCAUAGAAAUAAACAGGAGAGUGAAUGUG